AGGGGCAGCAUGAUUGAAGCUUGCUUCAAUUGAUGGCGACCGGCGCACGGGUGAGUAACGCGUAUCCAACCUUCCGUACACUCAGGGAUAGCCUUUCGAAAGAAAGAUUAAUACCUGAUGGUAUGAUGAGAUUGCAUGAUAUCAUCAUUAAAGAUUCAUCGGUGUACGAUGGGGAUGCGUUCCAUUAGGUAGUAGGCGGGGUAACGGCCCACCUAGCCGACGAUGGAUAGGGGUUCUGAGAGGAAGGUCCCCCACAUUGGAACUGAGACACGGUCCAAACUCCUACGGGAGGCAGCAGUGAGGAAUAUUGGUCAAUGGACGAGAGUCUGAACCAGCCAAGUAGCGUGAAGGAUGAAGGUCCUACGGAUUGUAAACUUCUUUUAUAAGGGAAUAAAACCUCCCACGUGUGGGAGCUUGUAUGUACCUUAUGAAUAAGCAUCGGCUAACUCCGUGCCAGCAGCCGCGGUAAUACGGAGGAUGCGAGCGUUAUCCGGAUUUAUUGGGUUUAAAGGGAGCGCAGACGGGUCGUUAAGUCAGCUGUGAAAGUUUGGGGCUCAACCUUAAAAUUGCAGUUGAUACUGGCGUCCUUGAGUGCGGUUGAGGUGUGCGGAAUUCGUGGUGUAGCGGUGAAAUGCUUAGAUAUCACGAAGAACUCCGAUUGCGAAGGCAGCACACUAAGCCGUAACUGACGUUCAUGCUCGAAAGUGUGGGUAUCAAACAGGAUUAGAUACCCUGGUAGUCCACACGGUAAACGAUGGAUACUCGCUGUUGGCGAUAUACUGUCAGCGGCUUAGCGAAAGCGUUAAGUAUCCCACCUGGGGAGUACGCC
Molecule: ribosomal RNA, 829 nt
Filed under: uncultured bacterium
Lineage: Bacteria
Description: bacterial SSU rRNA
Rfam family: Bacterial small subunit ribosomal RNA
Source: RNAcentral